This 960-nucleotide ribosomal RNA is filed under the name Ligilactobacillus salivarius. RNAcentral describes it as "bacterial SSU rRNA". It matches the Rfam family "Bacterial small subunit ribosomal RNA", at positions 76 to 1023 of the family's 1533-position model. The record is from RNAcentral. Lineage: Bacteria; Bacillati; Bacillota; Bacilli; Lactobacillales; Lactobacillaceae.
UUCACCGUAAGAAGUUGAGUGGCGGACGGGUGAGUAACACGUGGGUAACCUGCCUAAAAGAAGGGGAUAACACUUGGAAACAGGUGCUAAUACCGUAUAUCUCUAAGGAUCGCAUGAUCCUUAGAUGAAAGAUGGUUCUGCUAUCGCUUUUAGAUGGACCCGCGGCGUAUUAACUAGUUGGUGGGGUAACGGCCUACCAAGGUGAUGAUACGUAGCCGAACUGAGAGGUUGAUCGGCCACAUUGGGACUGAGACACGGCCCAAACUCCUACGGGAGGCAGCAGUAGGGAAUCUUCCACAAUGGACGCAAGUCUGAUGGAGCAACGCCGCGUGAGUGAAGAAGGUCUUCGGAUCGUAAAACUCUGUUGUUAGAGAAGAACACGAGUGAGAGUAACUGUUCAUUCGAUGACGGUAUCUAACCAGCAAGUCACGGCUAACUACGUGCCAGCAGCCGCGGUAAUACGUAGGUGGCAAGCGUUGUCCGGAUUUAUUGGGCGUAAAGGGAACGCAGGCGGUCUUUUAAGUCUGAUGUGAAAGCCUUCGGCUUAACCGGAGUAGUGCAUUGGAAACUGGAAGACUUGAGUGCAGAAGAGGAGAGUGGAACUCCAUGUGUAGCGGUGAAAUGCGUAGAUAUAUGGAAGAACACCAGUGGCGAAAGCGGCUCUCUGGUCUGUAACUGACGCUGAGGUUCGAAAGCGUGGGUAGCAAACAGGAUUAGAUACCCUGGUAGUCCACGCCGUAAACGAUGAAUGCUAGGUGUUGGAGGGUUUCCGCCCUUCAGUGCCGCAGCUAACGCAAUAAGCAUUCCGCCUGGGGAGUACGACCGCAAGGUUGAAACUCAAAGGAAUUGACGGGGGCCCGCACAAGCGGUGGAGCAUGUGGUUUAAUUCGAAGCAACGCGAAGAACCUUACCAGGUCUUGACAUCCUUUGACCACCUAAGAGAUUAGGCUUUCCCUUCGG